This 253-nucleotide ribosomal RNA is filed under the name uncultured bacterium. RNAcentral's name for it is "partial 16S ribosomal RNA". It matches the Rfam family "Bacterial small subunit ribosomal RNA", at positions 524 to 776 of the family's 1533-position model. The record is from RNAcentral.
UACAGAGGUCUCAACCGUUGUUCGGAUUCAUUGGGCGUAAAGGGUGUGUAGGUGGCGCGCUAAGUCGGGUGUGAAAUUUCGGAGCUUAACUCCGAAACUGCAUUCGAUACUGGCGUGCUUGAGGACUGGAGAGGAGACUGGAAUUCAUGGUGUAGCAGUGAAAUGCGUAGAGAUCAUGAGGAAGACCAGUGGCGAAGGCGGGUCUCUGGACAGUUCCUGACACUGAGACACGAAGGCCAGGGGAGCAAACGGG